Molecule: long non-coding RNA, 805 nt
Organism: Solanum dulcamara
Lineage: Eukaryota; Viridiplantae; Streptophyta; Magnoliopsida; Solanales; Solanaceae
Exons: 5
Source: RefSeq, a predicted model, not a curated record
CUCAAAAAAAUAUUGCUCUUCUUCUUUGCUUUCUCUGUCUCAAAAAAAUGUCGAUAUUUUCCUUGAAUAAUACCGCUCCAAGGAACGGUUUGAAGGGAAAGACUCAAUGAAGCCUCCUCAUAAUCAGGAGGGCAAAUUCUGGCUGAAAACAAUUCAGGAUAACAGGAUGCGGACAAGACCAAACAAACGGAGACAGUUACUUUUUACAAGCUCCUCCUUUGUUAGUUUACUGAUAUAGUUUGGAUGAUCAUUGAAACUAUUGCAACUAUCGGCAAUGGAUUGUCCCUGCCCAUUAUGACAAUUCUUUUUGGAGAAUGGACCGACUCCUUCACACAAAAUCAAAAUAACAAAGAUGUGCUUGGGGUUUCAUUGAAAUUUGUCUACUUAGCUUUGGGAUGUGAGGCAGCUGCAUUUCUUUAGGUCCCUUGUUGGAUGAUCUCUGGUGAAAGACAGCCUUCUCGAAUUAAGGAGUCUAUCUGAAAACUAUUUUGCAGCAAGAUUUAGCUUUCUGUGAUAAGGAAACCAAUAUGGGAGAGGUGGUGGGGCGCAUGUCUGGUGACGCUGUUCUUAAACAAGACGCAAUGGGCGAGUAGGUAGGGAAAUUUGUACAGCUGAUAUCAACAUUCUUUGCGGGCUUUGUCAUUGCAUUUACUAAAGGCUGGCUUCUCACACUUGUUAUGUUAUCCAUCAUUCCUCUACUUGUCAUCUUUGCUGGAGUGAUGUCCCUCAUCCUAUCUAGGAUGGUGUCCCGUGGAUAAGAUGCUUAUGCCAAAGCAGCAACGGUGGUUGAACAGACAAUUGGCUC